Molecule: ribosomal RNA, 483 nt
Filed under: uncultured bacterium
Lineage: Bacteria
Description: bacterial SSU rRNA
Rfam family: Bacterial small subunit ribosomal RNA
Source: RNAcentral
AUUGAACGCUGGCGGCAUGCCUUACACAUGCAAGUCGAACGGCAGCGGACCUUCGGGUGCCGGCGAGUGGCGAACGGGUGAGUAAUGCAUCGGAACGUGCCAUUGAGUGGGGGAUAACGUAGCGAAAGUUACGCUAAUACCGCAUAUUCUGUGAGCAGGAAAGCAGGGGGACCGCAAGGCCUUGCGCUCUUUGAGCGGCCGAUGUCAGAUUAGCUAGUUGGUGAGGUAAAGGCUUACCAAGGCGACGAUCUGUAGCGGGUCUGAGAGGAUGAUCCGCCACACUGGAACUGAGACACGGUCCAGACUCCUACGGGAGGCAGCAGUGGGGAAUUUUGGACAAUGGGCGCAAGCCUGAUCCAGCCAUGCCGCGUGAGUGAAGAAGGCCUCGGUUGUAAAGCUCUUCGUGGGAGAAUAGCACAGGAUAAUACCUUGUGUAGAUGACGGUACCCGCAUAAGAAGACACCGGCUAACUUCGUGCCAGCA